UCUUUAUUCCCCCAAUCACGUGUUGUUAUCUCGAACCUUCCCCUAUUAAAACUCACACUCAGUUGAUCUAGCCAUUUCAAUUUCAAAUUUUUAAUCCUAAAAUCUCAUAUUCUAUGUUUACAAAGUUCCGAAGAAUAUAGACACAUAAUAAAACAAUUUAUGGCUCAGACCUAAUUGGAGUUCUUGUUAAAAAAAUGUGCCCUCAAUGGAAACAAUGGUAAUUUUAGGUCUCGAUGGUGAUGACGAUAUGAUUUAUCUUCUCCCACAUCAUGAUCAAAUUAUUAACGACACCACAGUAAUCCUCCAUUCCAUUUAUCUCUAUAAAUUUUCUUCUUUGAACCACGAUUUUAGGGAUUUAGAUGCGGCCUCAUCUGCCAAGAAUGUCAAGAUGUCGAUUUUUUCAGUCAUCAGGAGUGCUAAACCCAUCAUGGUUGCAUAGGGUCAUCUUGGUAAGCAACCAUGAGUUUCAAUGUUAUAGGUGGUCUCUGUUUUGUUCUCGGUAACUAAUCAUGAGCUUAAUUGUUGAAGGUUAUAUUUAAUCUAUUUUUGCAUUUCUAUUUCAAAUUUGUGGCUUUUUUAUAAUCCACUUAUAAUCAUAUAUGAUCAUAUUGACAUUUUUCAAUAGUUGCAUUCUUUGUUUUCUCAAGGUUGGAGAUGGCUUUGGAUUUUUAUGUGGAAUUUUGUCAUCUGUCUAAGAACCUAUAUGGUUGCACUAAAACACGUAGCUUCAAGAUCAUGUUUCUUUUUUUCUUUUGUCUGAUUGGUUUGAAGAUAGAUUAAGUGCAUAAAGAUAGAUUAAGUUGUAUGUAUAAUAAUGUUAGUCUAGAAUAAUAUAAGUAUGUAUAAUAAUUGAGGUCAUAAUAUUACUACUCAUGAUCUGUUGGAUUCUAUUGAGAUACUUCAAGACCUCUGAUGAUGUUAGGAAACCAAAAGUUUCAAACACAACUUAUAUAAACACAUGUUGACAGUGUUGAUAUGGAAUUUUCUCCCUCUCAUUCUCUAUUAUCUCUUCCAAGGACGAGAACACACAAAACCUAAAAUGGUUUUGGUUUUGCUUGUUUUUCAAACUAAGAAGAACAAUAGUCUUGGUUGAUUGUAUUAUUAUAUUGGGGUGCAAAUUUGAUAAAUGGAUUUUGAUUUGGAUAAUCAUUGUUAAUUAAAUCAUAUGCACGAAAGGACUUCUAGCCUAGCGGUAUCCAGUUUGCAUUCUCUUAUUGUCUCCUUAAGAUAGUGGGUUCAUGUCCCGCACUGAACAAUAGUUACAGUUAUGAUAACAUUGAUAAUAUAACAAUGGAAAACAAAAUGAGUAGAUUUAAGGCUGUUAUUACCAUUGCAACACAACCAGUGAAUGAAGAAGGGUAUGAUAUGAAAAGGGAUAAGCUAAAAGAAGAUAUGGUCUAUGAUUAUGAUGACCCAUCGGAACGUCCACCGCAAGUUACAAUUUAAGAUCCUUUAACCUAAAACCAAAAAAAUGAUGAUCAAUGAUAAUUAAAGAGUGGGAGGCUAAAAGUGUUCAAAUUUGAGGUGGGAUGAAGUUUACCCUAAAGUCUCUACAAACGACUGAACAUCAUGUAUUAUUAACAAAAAUAUAACCCUAGAAAUGGAAGACCAUGUUAUAAAAACUAAGAAAAAAAGGUCAGGGAGUUUUCACGUUUUUUAUGAAUUUCAUUCCAUUUCAUGAAUGAUGAAAUCCAUAUUUUGUAUCAAAAAAAUAAAAAAAAAAACUUCAAAUUAUAACAUGACUUGGUCCAACCACAAAAAGCAUACUCCUCUAAUUGCAAAUUUCAGAUCACUACAUGAUAAAUAAAGAUGGUAGUUAUCGGAUAUGAUGUUCUAUGUGAUGUUACCUGUUCAGUAUAUCAUUUAAUUUGGGUCCGUUUAACAGGAUAUAUGUUUCUAAUUAAGAUCAUAUAUCAAUAACCUUUGAAUAAGAUCUUAUAUCAAUAACCUGCAUAUAAUGAUUGAGCACACUUAAUUCACAAAUAGUAUUUAAAGAUAUAAUGACCUCCACAUCUUAUCAACACAAACAAAUAAACCAUUGCACUUAUUAAGGUCCUGUUAUUCCGCCCCCCCCCCUCCCUAUGAAACCUAUAUCACGCGCUUUUUUUUGCUUUUAAGUCAAUCGCCCGAUUUAUUUUAAUUUUUUUCUUUUACAUACAAAAUCUAUAUUUUACAUUUAUGGUCUCUUUACUUUUGGAGUUUUUCAAUUUAUUUAUACUUAUUAACAAUAUUUUCAUUAUUCUUUUAUAACCCAUUUAAGUAUUUUAAUUUUUGACACCAAACAAUAACUUAAAUUUUAUAUAGCCCUAUUAAUUCAAAAGAAUAACAUAUCAUUUCAUAUAACUUUUACAAAAUUCAAAAAAUAAUUCAUCACUUAUUUUACAACUUUCAAUUUCAAAGAAUAAAACAUCACUUCGUUUUUGGACUUUUACAAAUUUUAAAAAAUAAUUCACCACUGAUUUUACCACUUGCAAUUUCAAAGAAUAAAACAUCACUUCGUUUUUAGAUUUUUAUAAAUUUCAAAAAAUAAUUAAUCACUUAUUUUACAACUUGUAAUUUUGAAAGAAUAACAUAUCACUUCGUUUUUGGAUUUUUACAAAUUUCAAAAAAUAAUUCAUCACUUUUUUUACAACUUGUAAUUUUGAAAGAAUAACAUAUCACUUCAUAUAUAGCUCUAACACUUUUAAAAAAAUAAUUCAUCUCUAUAUAAAUGUCAAGUACUACACAACAAUACUUACCAUUACCCAUCUUUUUAUAAUUCUCAAUUAUUACUCCUAUAUAACUUUUGUAACAAUUUUCAUCAAUAUAAUGGCGAGUUUUCAACCAAACGAAAGAAAUGAAGCUGUCAAUAACUCGUCAGAAUGUUUUGCAAAAAAGGUGUUCAAAUCCUAUGACGAUUUAAUAGAAUGGGUGCAAAAGAUGGGACGUGUGCUUGGGUACAUUAUUAUCAUAAGAAGAAAAAAGAUAAGAGGAAGUGGGCUCUUAACUAAAGUUAAUCUUAUAUGCGAUCGUGGUGGUAUUUAUAAAAGUAAAAAAAACCUCCAGUAGAAAUACUGGCACAAAAAAAAAUUAAUUGUCCUUUUGAAUUGAAGGGUAAAUAUUCCAAAUUAAAUGAUUCUGGGAUGUUAAGUGUGGUAUGUGAAAUACAUAACCAUGAACCCGCAGAAGACAUGGAGGUUCAUGCAUUUGCAAUGCGAUUGACUGAUAAUGAAUUUCGUUUGGUGGCCGACAUAGCUCGUAUGCAAACCAACAAAACUAUUCAUAUUCAUAUAUGAAUGAAUUUCCAAAGGUACUACAUCCUUACAUUAAGCAGGUACACAAUGUAGAAGGUGAUGGACAUUGCGGAUUUCGUGCAAUCGCUUCUUGUCUUGGUCUUCAUCAAGAUGAAUGGUACCAACUUCGAGUUAAUUUAAUGGAAGAGUUAGAAACACAUACUACUGAAUAUGGCGACAUGUUUGGAAGUGAAUAUCAGUUUCAAUUAUAUAACUCUUUGAAUUUCUUUGCCGAAGAAGCGCCGCUUUAAAACUGGAUGAUUAUGCCUGAUACAGGUGUCCUAAUUGCUUCAAGAUACAACAUGGUAUUACAUUGUUUUAGCCGACACGCAAGCACAACGUACUUACCACUUCGAUCUACUCCACCACCAGCCCAUGAACACAUUGUUAUUGCAAUUGGCCUCGUCUAUGGUAAUCAUUAUGUCAAGCUAGAGCUAGAAGGAGAGUACCCGAUGCCUCCUAUUGCACCACAAUGGAUUCAUUGCAAACGUCCAUGUGCAGCUGAAUGGGUCACCCCGUAUAUCGAACGGUUAAAUAUGUAUAAUCAUUAUUAUCGUGCUAGUUUUAAUGGCUAAAUAUGUAUAAUCAUUAUUAUCGUUCUAGUUUUAACGUCUAAAUAUGUAUAAUAAUUAUUAUCGUUCUAGUUUUAAUGGUUAAAUAUGUAUAAUAAUAAUUAUUUUUUUA
Molecule: long non-coding RNA, 3956 nt
Organism: Lactuca sativa (garden lettuce)
Lineage: Eukaryota; Viridiplantae; Streptophyta; Magnoliopsida; Asterales; Asteraceae
Source: RefSeq, a predicted model, not a curated record